RNAcentral lists this long non-coding RNA (1668 nucleotides) under Brassica napus (rape). RNAcentral's name for it is "long non-coding RNA (BNAP_LNC008996)". The record is from RNAcentral. Lineage: Eukaryota; Viridiplantae; Streptophyta; Magnoliopsida; Brassicales; Brassicaceae.
AAAGUUGUAAGUUUUAAUUUUGAAACCUGCAGAAUCCAAAGUUCGUGAGGAGAACACAGGAAUUUAAAUGUUCAAGUGUCAGUGCUGAUGGAACAUGAUGAAUUAAAUUUCAAUAUACAAUUUUUUGAACAUAUAAAGUUAACAAAAAAGUGUAUUUAAUCUUUUUUAUGGCUACGAUCGAAGGAAAGACAUUUGAUAUGUAUUCUAUAGUUGUUGAAUUUGUUAACGUCGUAUAGUUUUGGUGUAGAUAAAUAGAUAUGUUAAUUGAGUAAAAUAAAAGGAAAAAGAUCAAAAAUUUCCGACUCUCGGUUGAACUUGGCUCAUCCUUUUGCGGCAAGCUGUUGGUGCGGACUAAGUUGUGUCUUGGGACUGUGGUUGUGGUGGUCGUGUUUGCUUGUCUAUCGCUACUCGAUCGAGUGUGUGUUUAGGAUUUUAUUUUUCUUAUUCUGCUUCUUGUUAUCUAUGUAUUUCUGUCACAAAUUAAAAACUUGGUAAUAAUAUCUUAACAUUUUUACCAAAAAAAAAAAAAAAAAAAAUCCUCAGUUACAUUAGUUUCUCUUAUUAAUCUGUCAUAUAUAUCUUGUCCCCUUUGAAAGUGUUUUACGAAGAACAAACAUAAAUCAGAUCUAACCUUUUUUAAUCUCUUUUGCAUGUUGGAUCUGAUGACUUUCUUGGUUAUUCCGAUGAGCUGGAAACAUGUUACAAUGCCUUUUUUAUUGAAAGUUUAAGCCGUACAAACAAAUAUGGUCACAACUACUCAAAUGGUAUACAAUCUAUACAAUUAACGUUUGUUAAAAUUGUAGAAACUUAAACAAUAUAUAAUUAUUUUAAAUAUGUAAAAUAUAAUAAUUUUUUUAAAAAAAAUAUUCUUAUUUUCUAGAUAAAAAGUAUUUCUUAUAUUAAUUAUCCCAAGAUUUUAUUAUUUAACAGUUACUUUGUAUAAUAGUUAAAUAGUUGAUAUAAAUCAAAAAAGUUAAUUUAAUAUUUAUAUAUUAAUAAAAUAAAUUAAUCUAUGCCAUAAAAUAAAUAGAGUCUUCCAUUCGCCAACAUUGCAUUCAUCACCCAAAGACUUCAAAUAGUUCUUCCUACAUGUAGCUUGAAUCUUUAUCCCUGGAAAAACAUAUUUAUUUUACCACAGAUGUUAGUCCAUGAUCUCACGAAAAAAUUAAAAAAGGGGUUCGUUUGUAGCUUCAUACUGUACAUCUAAAAAUUGAAGCUUCCAAAUCUAUGAACACGAAUGUUAUAUAUACUUGAAGUUUAUUAUCGAUUGCAAUACAAAUGUAUGGUUGAAGUUAAUGAUUGUAAUUAAAACAUUGAAUUACAUAUUAAUAGAUAAAACAUUUGUAUCGAAUAAUGUAAGUUUUAAUUUUGAAACCUGCAGAAUCCAAAGUUGUAAGUUUUAAUUUUGAAACCUGCAGAAUCCAAAGUUCGUGAGGAGAACAUAUGAAUUUAAAUGUUCAAGUGUCAGUGCUGAUGGAACAUGAUGAAUUAAAUUUCAAUAUACAAUUUUUUGAACAUAUAAAGUUAACAAAAAAGUGUAUUUAAUCUUUUUUAUGGCUACGAUCGAAGGAAAGACAUUUGAUAUGUAUUCUAUAGUUGUUGAAUUUGUUAACGUCGUAUAGUUUUGGUGUAGAUAAAUAGAUAUGUUAAUUGAGUAAAAUAAAAGGA